Molecule: non-coding RNA, 214 nt
Organism: Caenorhabditis elegans
Lineage: Eukaryota; Metazoa; Nematoda; Chromadorea; Rhabditida; Rhabditidae
Source: Ensembl
GAUGUACUAGAAGAUUUGUUAUUUUUGUUAUUUCUAUUAACCUGUAUUUUUUGGUUUAGUCAGUUUCCUAGAUAAUUUUCGAGUUUCUAUGAACACAAUCUGUACUCUCCUAUAAAUUAUUACUUGUUUUUAGAUCUCAUGGCUUUUGAAGCGGUUUCUGCUGAGACUGUUGUGUUCACUCUGAGAAUGGGGCUAUCGACCAUCGUUGGGGAAA